GAUGAAGAACGUAGCAAAAUGCGAUAAGUAAUGUGAAUUGCAGAAUUCAGUGAAUCAUCGAAUCUUUGAACGCAUAUUGCGCUCUCUGGUAUUCCGGAGAGCAUGCUUGUUUGAGUAUCAGUAAACACCUCAACUCCCUUUUCUUUUUUGAAAUUGGAGCUGGACUUGAGUGAUCCCAACGCUUUCUUCCAAGAAAGUGGCGGGUUGCUUGAAAUGCAGGUGCAGCUGAACUUUUCUCUGAGCUAUAAGCAUAUCUAUUUAGUCUGCCUAAAAAACAGAUUAUUACCUUUGCUGCAGCUAACAUAAAGGAGACUAGUUCUUGUGCUGACUGAUGCAGGAUUCACAGAGACAGCUUCGGCUGACUUUGUAAACUCGAUCUCAAAUCAAGUAAGACUACCCGCUGAACUUAAGCAUAUCAAUAAGCGGAGGA
Molecule: unclassified non-coding RNA, 430 nt
Filed under: soil metagenome
Description: partial contains 5.8S ribosomal RNA, internal transcribed spacer 2, and large subunit ribosomal RNA
Rfam family: 5.8S ribosomal RNA (bases 1-120)
Source: RNAcentral